GUGGGUUUUGGCGCUCCAUAUCAUGCUCCUCGACUCCAAAUCACAAAACUUAACAAGGAUUGGCCUUGGAAUGGAUCUUGUGGUGUUAAGCUGACCCAACCGAUGGCACCGUUUAACAGAAGAAACACACCAUGAACAAGAAGGAUUUUCUUGCGGUUUCUCAUUUCCAUCUGGUCAUACAUGUCAGCAAGUGCUUCUACUUGCAACUGCAGAGACUUCAACGCAGAUAAAAU
This 233-nucleotide unclassified non-coding RNA is filed under the name Melitaea cinxia (Glanville fritillary). RNAcentral describes it as "misc RNA ENSMCXG00005012522.1". Lineage: Eukaryota; Metazoa; Arthropoda; Insecta; Lepidoptera; Nymphalidae. The record is from RNAcentral.